GGGUUGUAAACUGCUUUUGUAUGGGAAUAAACCCUUCUACGUGUGGAAGGCUGAAGGUACCAUAAGAAUAAGCACCGGCUAACUCCGUGCCAGCAGCCGCGGUAAUACGGAGGGUGCAAGCGUUAUCCGGAUUUAUUGGGUUUAAAGGGUCCGUAGGCGGGCCGAUAAGUCAGUGGUGAAAGCCCAUAGCUCAACUAUGGAACUGCCAUUGAUACUGUCGGUCUUGAGUAUAUGUGAUGUUGGCGGAAUGUGUAGUGUAGCGGUGAAAUGCUUAGAUAUUACACAGAACACCGAUUGCGAAGGCAGCUGACAAAUAUAUAACUGACGCUGAGGGACGAAAGUGUGGGGAUCAAACAGGAUUAGAUACCCUGGUAGUCCACACCGUAAACGAUGAUUACUAGAUUUUGGCCUUAUGGUCAGAGUCCAAGCGAAAGUGUUAAGUAAUCCACCUGGGGAGUACGUCCGCAAGGAUGAAACUCAAAGGAAUUGAC
RNAcentral lists this ribosomal RNA (491 nucleotides) under uncultured bacterium. RNAcentral describes it as "bacterial SSU rRNA". It matches the Rfam family "Bacterial small subunit ribosomal RNA", at positions 420 to 914 of the family's 1533-position model. The record is from RNAcentral.